RNAcentral lists this ribosomal RNA (497 nucleotides) under uncultured bacterium. RNAcentral describes it as "partial 16S ribosomal RNA". It matches the Rfam family "Bacterial small subunit ribosomal RNA", at positions 28 to 507 of the family's 1533-position model. The record is from RNAcentral.
GAUGAACGCUGGCGGCGUGCCUAAUACAUGCCAGUCGAGCGAACAGACGAGGAGCUUGCUCCUCUGACGUUAGCGGCGGACGGGUGAGUAACACGUGGAUAACCUACCUAUAAGACUGGGAUAACUUCGGGAAACCGGAGCUAAUACCGGAUAAUAUAUUGAACCGCAUGGUUCAAUAGUGAAAGACGGUUUUGCUGUCACUUAUAGAUGGAUCCGCGCCGCAUUAGCUAGUUGGUAAGGUAACGGCUUACCAAGGCAACGAUGCGUAGCCGACCUGAGAGGGUGAUCGGCCACACUGGAACUGAGACACGGUCCAGACUCCUACGGGAGGCAGCAGUAGGGAAUCUUCCGCAAUGGGCGAAAGCUUGACGGAGCAACGCCGCGUGAGUGAUGAAGGUCUUCGGAUCGUAAAACUCUGUUAUUAGGGAAGAACAAAUGUGUAAGUAACUAUGCCCGUCUUGACGGUACCUAAUCAGAAAGCCACGGCUAACUACGUG